UGAGUAACACGUAUGCAACUUGCCUGCCACAGCCGGAUAAUCGGGAGAAAUUCCGUCUAAUACGGCAUAAUGCAUCGACGGGACAUCCUGUUGGUGCCAAAGGUUGAUUCCGGUGGCGGAUGGGCAUGCGUCGCAUUAGUUAGUUGGCGGUGUAACGGACCACCAAGACGACGAUGCGUAGGGGUUCUGAGAGGAAGGUCCCCCACACUGGAACUGAGACACGGUCCAAACUCCUACGGGAGGCAGCAG
This 249-nucleotide ribosomal RNA is filed under the name uncultured bacterium. RNAcentral's name for it is "partial 16S ribosomal RNA". It matches the Rfam family "Bacterial small subunit ribosomal RNA", at positions 107 to 354 of the family's 1533-position model. The record is from RNAcentral.